CUAAGGAGGAUAACGUUGCAUCAGCAACGGCCCGCAGGGCGAAGCGCAAGCUGAGUAAUCCUCCUGGAUGCACCA
Molecule: small RNA, 75 nt
Filed under: Pantoea sp. EKM103V
Lineage: Bacteria; Pseudomonadati; Pseudomonadota; Gammaproteobacteria; Enterobacterales; Erwiniaceae
Also listed under: 1 other name
Description: partial RtT sRNA
Rfam family: RtT RNA
About the family: This family represents a bacterial cis-regulatory element known as RtT RNA. The exact function of RtT is unknown although it is thought that it may be involved in changing the cellular response in relation to amino acid starvation.
Source: RNAcentral